UACGUAGGUGGCAAGCGUUGUCCGGAUUCACUGGGCGUAAAGGAUGCGUAGGCGGACAUUUAAGUCAGAUGUGAAAUACCCGAGCUUAACUUGGGUGCUGCAUUUGAAACUGGGUGUCUAGAGUGCAGGAGAGGUAAGUGGAAUUCCUAGUGUAGCGGUGAAAUGCGUAGAGAUUAGGAAGAACACCAGUGGCGAAGGCGACUUACUGGACUGUAACUGACGCUGAGGCAUGAAAGCGUGGGGAGCAAACAGG
This 253-nucleotide ribosomal RNA is filed under the name uncultured bacterium. Its description in RNAcentral is "partial 16S ribosomal RNA". It matches the Rfam family "Bacterial small subunit ribosomal RNA", at positions 524 to 776 of the family's 1533-position model. The record is from RNAcentral.